RNAcentral lists this ribosomal RNA (405 nucleotides) under uncultured bacterium. RNAcentral describes it as "partial 16S ribosomal RNA". It matches the Rfam family "Bacterial small subunit ribosomal RNA", at positions 30 to 526 of the family's 1533-position model. The record is from RNAcentral.
AUUGAACGCUAGCGGGAUGCUUUACACAUGCAAGUCGAACGAGUGGCGGACGGGUGAGUAAUAUAUCGGAAAGGGCCAAGUAGCGGGGGAUAACUCCUCGAAAGAGGGGCUAAUACCGCAUAACAUUGGAGCGGCCGAUAUCGGAUUAGCUAGUUGGUGGGGUAAAGGCUAACCAAGGCAAAGAGCCGUAGCUGGUUUGAGAGGACGACCAGCCAACAUGGGACUGAGACACGGCCCAGACUCCUACGGGAGGCAGCAGUGGGGAAUUUUGGACAAUGGGGGAAACCCUGAUCCAGCCAUCCCGCGUGUAUGAGAAGGCCUUCGGGUUGUAAAGUACUUUCAGUCGGGAGGCGUUACCGACAGAAGAAGCACCGGCUAACUCCGUGCCAGCAGCCGCGGUAAUAC